AUACGGAGGGGGUUAGCGUUGUUCGGAAUUACUGGGCGUAAAGCGCACGUAGGCGGAUCAGAAAGUUGGGGGUGAAAUCCCAGGGCUCAACCCUGGAACUGCCCUCAAAACUCCUGGUCUUGAGUUCGAGAGAGGUGAGUGGAAUUCCAAGUGUAGAGGUGAAAUUCGUAGAUAUUUGGAGGAACACCAGUGGCGAAGGCGGCUCACUGGCUCGAUACUGACGCUGAGGUGCGAAAGUGUGGGGAGCAAACAGGAUUAGAUACCCUGGUAGUCCACACCGUAAACGAUGAAUGCCAGACGUCGGGCAGUAUACUGUUCGGUGUCACACCUAACGGAUUAAGCAUUCCGCCUGGGGAGUACGGUCGCAAGAUUAAA
RNAcentral lists this ribosomal RNA (375 nucleotides) under uncultured bacterium. RNAcentral's name for it is "bacterial SSU rRNA". It matches the Rfam family "Bacterial small subunit ribosomal RNA", at positions 523 to 898 of the family's 1533-position model. The record is from RNAcentral.